CCCUGCGGAAGGAUCAUUACCCUUUCUAUCGGGGGGUUGACACCAGCGCUCUGGGCUCUUGCUUGGUUCACUGGCUCAAUCCUUUCUGAUUCUACCCAUGUCUUUUGCGCACUAUUUGUUUCCUUGGUGGGCUUGCCCGCCAACAGGACACACCACAACCUCUUGUAAUUGCAGUCAGCGUCAGUAACAAUGUAAUUAUUACAACUUUCAACAACGGAUCUCUUGGUUCUGGCAUCGAUGAAGAACGCAGCGAAAUGCGAUAAGUAGUGUGAAUUGCAGAAUUCAGUGAAUCAUCGAAUCUUUGAACGCACAUUGCGCCCCUUGGUAUUCCAUGGGGCAUGCCUGUUCGAGCGUCAUUUGUACCCUCAAGCUUUGCUUGGUGUUGGGUGUUUGUUCCCUGCGCUUGCGCUAUCGGGGACUCGCCUCAAAACAAUUGGCAGCCGGCAUAUUGGCCUGGAGCGCAGCACAUUUUGCGCCUCUUGUCAUGGUUGUUGGCAUCCAUCAAGGACUUUUAUCAGCUCUUGACCUCGGAUCAGGUAG
RNAcentral lists this ribosomal RNA (540 nucleotides) under fungal endophyte sp. M1-3121. Its description in RNAcentral is "eukaryotic LSU rRNA". The stretch from base 203 to 356 matches the Rfam family "5.8S ribosomal RNA". Lineage: Eukaryota; Fungi. The record is from RNAcentral.